UCACCAAUUUUUUUUACACCUCAUACAGUGCCCUCCCUAAUGUUUGAGGCAAAGGCCCAUCAUUUAUUUGCCUCUGUACUCCACAAUUUGAGAUUUGUAAUAGAAAAAAAAA
This is a long non-coding RNA of Amblyraja radiata (thorny skate), 112 nucleotides long. RefSeq lists it as uncharacterized. The transcript has 3 exons. The record is from RefSeq and is a predicted model, not a curated record. NCBI's taxonomy places the organism in Eukaryota, Metazoa, Chordata, Chondrichthyes, Rajiformes, Rajidae.